RNAcentral lists this ribosomal RNA (233 nucleotides) under uncultured bacterium. RNAcentral describes it as "partial 16S ribosomal RNA". It matches the Rfam family "Bacterial small subunit ribosomal RNA", at positions 99 to 334 of the family's 1533-position model. The record is from RNAcentral.
CGGACGGGUGAGUAAUGUCUGGGAAACUGCCGGAUGGAGGGGGAUAACGACUGGAAACGGUAGCUAAUACCGCAUAACGUCGCAAGACCGAAAGAGGGGGACCUUCGGGCCUCUUGCCAUCGGAUGUGCCCAGAUGGGAUUAGCUAGUAGGUGGGGUAACGGCUCACCUAGGCGACGAUCCCUAGCUGGUCUGAGAGGAUGACCAGCCACACUGGAACUGAGACACGGUCCAG